UACGUAGGGUGCAAGCGUUGCUCGGAAUUACUGGGCGUAAAGCGCACGCAGGCGGCUGUGUACGUCGGAUGUGAAAGCCCUGGGCUCAACCCGGGAACUGCAUUCGAAACUGCACAGCUUGAGUUCGGGAGAGGGUGGUGGAAUUCCUGGUGUAGAGGUGAAAUUCGUUGAUAUCAGGAGGAACACCGGCGGCGAAGGCGGCCACCUGGUCCGAGACUGACGCUCAUGUGCGAAAGCGUGGGUAGCAAACAGG
This 253-nucleotide ribosomal RNA is filed under the name uncultured bacterium. RNAcentral's name for it is "partial 16S ribosomal RNA". It matches the Rfam family "Bacterial small subunit ribosomal RNA", at positions 524 to 776 of the family's 1533-position model. The record is from RNAcentral.